CGAGUCCCACAUGGGCUCUCUGCUCGGCGGGGAGCCUGCUUCCCUCUCUCUCUCUACCUGCCUCUCUGCCUACUUGUGAUCUCUGCCUGUCAAAUAAAUAAAUAAAAUCUUUAAAAAAAAAAAAAAUCUGAAACAAAACCUAGGCACUCAGUGAUUAAGUGAUGCCUGUAACUGUAUGACAGAUCAGCAAUUUUGUCAUUUCUAUAUUCCCAGCUUGGAAUCUAAUAUAAAAGAAAUACUUCACUACUUUGUUCUAAAUCCCGUCUGAUCCAAUCUGGAAUAAAUAUAUUGUUGUGGGUUUCUUAAUAGGAAAAAAAGAAAAUAAUAACAUCUUUGACAGAAUUAAAUCGUCGUUUCUGCAAAAAGAAACUUGGAAUUCACCUUUGGUCUACUUCUUAUCUUUGGCGUAUUUUCUAUUAAAAAGACUUCUAGAUUUUAGUGGCUGCUUCGCUUUGGUUAUCUAAGCUGUAAUAAGUAGCCUUGGGACCCCCGAAGGCACACCCCACACACUUAUGCUGGGUGACCUAAGGUCACAAGUAAUGGCUGCAAGCUAAUUGAUUGAGAAAGGCUUGUCUGGCGGGGCCUCUCUGCGUCCUCCCCUUACAUUCCUGACUUCUGGGAGAGAGGCACUAGCCGCUCAGCGAGCAAGGAAGGAAAAAAGAGAGGAAGUUUCUCUGCGUUCCGAUUCCUCUCUGAAUUCCCUGGUAGUGAGCUUCCUUCUCUCCACCCACUUCUUCCCAAGAACUCCUUAAUUUGAAGGUGAACCACCUAAAGCCUGAUCCCAGAGACUUCCCCGAAAGGUGAUUUGAGUGUUUAUUGAACCGAAAGAACAAAUUACCUACUUGAGGCGGUGGGCAGCCUAUGGAGAUUAUAUUAGAACUUCAGCAAAGUGCACAGCUGCCUAAGACAGAAGCCGGGACUCAGACGGACAGGCAAAUAAGCCUGCUCGUGGAAGGGGCCUCUGGGUGGCAGCUCUGGGCUAUUGGGUGUUGGACAACCCUAGGCAAAACAGAAAUGGAACAGGGGCAGAAAAUAGCACACUUGUACGCUACGCAACUGUUGCUUUCGCAUGGCUAUCGAGGAUUACAAUGGCCCUGUAAAGAGAUGACGCAGACAAAACAGGCAUCCUUGAAGAUUAAUAAGAGACCUAUUCAGUCACCUAUAAAGGGAAAAACAGAUUUAAAUUACUGUAGUUCACUGUUUGGGGCUCAUUCAUCUUACUUUUUUGCAGCUAUAGUGAGAUACAAUGAUAAUUAAAAUAUCAAUGUGGAAAAGACAGGACUUCCUUGUUUAUGACAAAGAGAAGUUGUAAAUAGUUUUGAUAGUGUCAUAAAGAUGGCAAAAGGGAAGUUGUGCCAGGAUCAUGGAGCAGAAAGGCAUUGCAAGCUUAUGAUGAUACCAAAAAUAGCAAGUGAUGAAAAAAAAGUAUGACAAUAUUUAAUAAGUGUUUUGAUAUUUUUAAUGACUACUUCAGGAAAUGAACACUAUUGAGUAGACAAGUAUAAAGCUAUUUAAGAUAUUAAAUUAAAAUGCAAAGACCAAGAAUUGAUUGCACCAGAUUGCACCAUAUUAAAGGGGAAAAAAAUGAAGUAGCUAUUUUAGAUAAAGCCUUAAAGUAGAUCUAUUUUUAAAAAUCAUAACUAUCCUGAAUUAAUACAAGUUAAGUUGGGGUAGAUUCAAACCAGGGACUUAAAAUUCGUACUCUGAAAUACAUGAGCGUGAAGUUUAUCUAAAAAUUGCUUAGAUAAAUAAUAUGUUUCCAUGAGAAAAGUUCAUAUAAAUAAAAAAAGUCAGUGUGAAAAACUAUAGUUAAAUUAGGCAAGUUGGGACUUCUUGUAUUAUAAUUCAGUUUUCAUUUGGAGAAUGCCAGAAAAAAGAAUCUUAUGUGUUUCUUAAGCUCUAAAAUGCACAAAUAUUUCAUUUUUCUUACCAGCAGAGAACAACAUAGGAAAAAGGAACUUCUGGGGGUACAUGGCAUUUUUGCCCGUGAUUAACCACUUAACAUGCAGUGUGGACAUUGCAACUAACUUAAUCAUCAUGAAGCAGGCAGUUACAGUUUUUCAUUUGUUUAUUUGUUAAGAUAGAUUAAUAAUACAAUUAAUAAUAAAAUUUAUUUGUUAAUGACAGAACGUGUAUUCUUAGGACACUAUCAGUAAUCAUUUUUAGUUGGAAAAAUGUUUUGCUAGACUUAUUUAGGUGUGCUGCUUUUUUUGCCCCAAGAAAUUGUAUAGUCCUUCAUAAAAGAAUUUUUCCCAUUAGUCAAAUAUUGUAGGAAGAGAGAAAGCAAAGAAGAGAAAUAAAAGAUGGGGAAUAAGUACGUAAAACAAGGAGGGGAAGAUCUUUACAAAAGAUUAGGGAACCACUUCAUAAAGAGGAGAAAUGGGUAGUAGAGAUCAAGAGAAAUGCCAAAACCAUUUUGUUGAUAUGGCCAUAUACUGGCUAUCUACAGGAGAGCUUCUAAGUGCCACUGGACAUUUGUGAACAUUUGUGUGUGUGUGUGUGUGUGUGUGUGUGUGUGUGUAGAAUGGGGGAAUGAAGGGAAGGGAGGCAUUGGUAUUUAUUUUUUUAUUCUGGGUCAGUUUCCUAUUGGAUACAGUUACCACAGUUAAGAUUUUUUAAGAAAAGGAAAAGACUUUUGCAAAUAUGUUUUACUUUUGCAAAUAUAUUUCAUACAACACAUCCGAGUUUAUCCUACAUAUAUUUUGAUACAAUUUGUCAACCCAUAGUCCUCAAGAAGCAGAAUCAGUGGUUGAUAAUUAUUGUGCAUCUGUGGUUGAUUAACUCAGUUGGUUGAAUCACGGAGCUAAUGAGGCGAAAGCCUAGGUUUGCUCCCCAUGUGGGCUGGUAAGUUUUUCUCUCUUCCUGAGCUACAGACUACCGUUCAGACUCAGGCCAACUACCCCAUGGUUGCAUGCUACUGACCAUAAGGACAUUGGACAUCCAACAACAUGCCUGGAAAAAUCCCCAACUACACACCGUUAUCUGCUUCCUAAUGAUUUAGCAGUAAUAUUCAUGAAGCAUCAAUUAUGUACUCAGUAUUGCUACAAAGAAUUCACAGGAAAUUUUCUGUGGCCUAAGGACACAUUAAGGAAUAAGCAAUACUAAGAAUUAUGUAAAGAGAACAUAUGGAAAAGAGACUAAUUCAUAACUGCCAAUUGGAUGUACUUCAAAUUGCAAGUGAAGCAAAAUUCCACAUGUUGAUUUUUUUUUUCUUCAACAGCUAAGUGUCUUAAUUUAAAAGAUCUAAUAAAAAAAAAAAAAAAAACCCAUAGGCUGGCGUCCCUUGAGUUCUGAACCAACCAUGAAGUAAGACAAAGAAUGGGAAAGAAGAGGCAGACCGAAGGUGAAAAUAUCAUAUUUAUUGUGGGUAAAGACUACAUUAGAGAAUGUAGCUUAUCUCUGUAGGUGAAUCAGAACUUACUCAGCUAUUCAGACUAGAAAAACCAGGUCUCCCCUGUGGGACAGGCUCCAUUUUGUUGCCUGAUAGCUCUUUUUGUAGGACGGUCAUCCCGCAAGAAAACAAGGCAGCAAGGAGGGUUGCUUUAUGCAUGGAUAGUUUUUUCUUGCAGACCUGUCAAUCAGAUUGGGUCACUGGGAAGACUGACUAACAGGAGAGAGGCUGGAUUGUUCUAUAUGAAGAGAACAUCGGCAAUGAAAAAGAAUUCCUGCCACCCCCAACCUCACCUACACAAAAUCUUUUCAAUUGAAUAAAUGGCCAGUGUAAGAUGAACAAGGGGGAAAAUGCCAGAAAGUACAAUGUACUAUGUACAUUGUAGUACACAAAUACUCUUGAAAUUUUAGAGAGUGUAGCUUGUAGUGGGUUGGUGCUUCCUCUGGUCUCCCAAAUUUCUGAGAGUGGAUGGGUCACAUCAUUGUGACCAUAAACAUGGUCAUAAAGAAAUGCUUGAAUAGGAAAUAUCUGCAUACCAUGAUGGAAAAGUCAUAUGCAAGGUAAAUAUUUUGGUGAAAUAAUUCAUUUUACUGAUUUGCUAUCACAAUGUAAAUUUAAUCUAAUGAAAUAUCCCCAUGAAAAUGUAUCUUUUCACUGUGUGCCAUGUUCACUCUUGAGGAUUUGCAAUACAAUGAUGCAUUUCAGCCAUUGAGUGUUUGGCUUUAUCAAAGUGUUUCCCAUACUUUUAAUAAGGAAUGCCUUUGUAGCUGGUGUUUGGUUUUUUUUUUUUUUGUGUGUGUGUGUAUCUUUUUUCAUCCUUUACUUUCAAGCCAUCUGUAUUUUACAUUAAUGUCAUUUUUUUUUCUUUUUUUUUUAAAUUUUUUAUUUUUUAUAAACAUAUAUUUUUAUCCCCAGGGGUACAGGUCUGUGAAUCGCCAGAUUUACACACUUCACAGCACUCACCAAAGCACAUACCCUCCCCAAUGUCCAUAACCCCACCC
This is a long non-coding RNA of Mustela putorius furo (domestic ferret), 4392 nucleotides long. The record is from Ensembl. Lineage: Eukaryota; Metazoa; Chordata; Mammalia; Carnivora; Mustelidae.